RNAcentral lists this ribosomal RNA (141 nucleotides) under uncultured bacterium. RNAcentral describes it as "partial 16S rRNA". It matches the Rfam family "Bacterial small subunit ribosomal RNA", at positions 355 to 511 of the family's 1533-position model. The record is from RNAcentral.
UGGGGAAUUUUCCGCAAUGGGCGUAAGCCUGACGGAGCAAUGCCGCGUGGAGGUGGAAGGCCUACGGGUCGUCAACUUCUUUUCUCGGAGAAGAAACAAUGACGGUAUCUGAGGAAUAAGCAUCGGCUAACUCUGUGCCCG